CCGAGCUGCCGGAGACUCCGCGUCCCGUCUUCAUCCCGCAUCGGCGCUAGCGACGGCCAUGACUCCCCGCCCCAUCUUCAUCCCGCAUCGGCGCCGGCGGUGGCAAGUACUCCCCGCCCCGUCUUCGUCCCGCAUCGGCGCCGGUGGCGGCCCCGCCCUAUCUCCCUACGCAUCGGCGCCGCCCACGAUUCCCCGUGCCGUUUCCGUCCCGCAUCGGCGUGGCCCCCGCGCGAGGAAUAGCCACCGGCCGGCAGGGUGGGUCUGCGCCGGCAACAGGCGGCGGCAGCAGCAGCCCGAUCUGGUCCGGCCGGAUUGGGGCAGGGCUUCAUCGCGCGGCCGGUAAACUUGCAGCCGCAUGAUAUCUCAUUAGCUCCGUCCUCUCGUGCUUGUGCAGGUGGAUUUGGAGCACAAUCAAUAUAGGUCAUUUCAAGGUUUGACCUGCUUGAUGCAGAUUUCAACCAGAACAGAAGACUUUAUUGUGACACUCUUAAGCUCCGCAUAUACAUUAGUCUCUACUUGCAAGAACCUUUUAAAGAUCCAACCAAGAGAAAGGUUUUGAAGAACUCAUCAGUAGUUUCUGUCUAUACGCACUCAGAUUUCUGGUUGCUAAUUUGUUCUUCGUGAAAUAGGUAAUACAUGGUGUGGAUCGUGAUAUAAUGUGGCUCCAACGGGAUUUCCACAUUUACAUAUGCAAUUUUUUGACACAGGACAGUUAAUUUUCAAACAAGGACCAAUAAUCCCAUGAAAAGGCCAUGCACUUUGCUUCUUUCCGUAUUCUCCUCGAAACACUCAUCUCAAUGUUUAAUAGACUGAAGCUUGGUCUUUCUUUCCAAACUUAAUCAGGCUUCAAGGGUCUUACGGAUGGAGAGAAACAGCCUAGAAUACCUAUUGGUUCGCUUUUGUGGAGUGACAGCAAAGGAAUAUUAAAAUGCAGACUGGAGGUCGAGGCCACUUCCUGAUGAAAUGAUCAAGUAAUGUGCACUCUGCGCAGGUGUAAUUGGAUCAAUCCGCACAGGUGGUGCAUGCUCCUCCUGUUGCGCAAGUGGUGUAUGGUCGUGGUCUUGUGCAUCAGGAUUGAUGGGUGGCACCGAAGAAUUAGCUUCGUCCACGUCCAUGUGGAGGAGAGGGAGGAGGUGUGAGAAGAAUUAAAUCUGUCAGCAAGGGAAGAGGCGCAGGGAGAAGAAUUGGUUGCCCUACCUAUCUCUCAAGGGGCUAUUUAUUUAUAUAGGAAUUUUGAAUAAAUAGGAAUUUUUACUCACGUAGGCUCUUCAAACUCUGUUAGGAUCC
This is a long non-coding RNA of Setaria italica (foxtail millet), 1287 nucleotides long. RefSeq lists it as uncharacterized. The transcript is spliced from 4 exons. NCBI's taxonomy places the organism in Eukaryota, Viridiplantae, Streptophyta, Magnoliopsida, Poales, Poaceae. The record is from RefSeq and is a predicted model, not a curated record.